RNAcentral lists this ribosomal RNA (488 nucleotides) under uncultured bacterium. RNAcentral describes it as "bacterial SSU rRNA". It matches the Rfam family "Bacterial small subunit ribosomal RNA", at positions 903 to 1397 of the family's 1533-position model. The record is from RNAcentral.
AAAUGAAUAGACGGGCACCCGCACAAGCGGUGGAGCAUGCUGUUUAAUUCGAAGAUACGCGAAAAACCUUACCUAGGCUUGACAUCCCUGGCGAAGCUAUAGAAAUAUAGUGGAGGUUACCCAGGUGACAGGUGGUGCAUGGUUGUCGUCAGCUCGUGUCGUGAGAUGUUCGGUUAAGUCCGAUAACGAGCGCAACCCUCGUUACUAGUUGCUAACAUUAAGUUGAGUACUUUAGUAAGACUGCCAGUGAUAAACUGGAGGAAGGUGGGGAUGACGUCAAAUCAUCAUGCCCCUUAUGUCUAGGGCUACAGGCGUGCUACAAUGGCCAUUACAAUGAGAAGCAAUAUCGUGAGAUAAAGCAAAUCUUUAAAGAUGGUCUCAGUUCGAAUUGGAGUCUGCAACUCGACUCCAUGAAGUUGGAAUCGCUAGUAAUCCUAAAUCAGAAUGUUAGGGUGAAUACGUUCCCGGGUGUUGUACACACCGCCCGU